GAUGAACGCUGGCGGCGUGCCUAAUACAUGCAAGUCGAGUGAACAGAUAAGGAGCUUGCUCCUUUGACGUUAGCGGCGGACGGGUGAGUAACACGUGGGUAACCUACCUAUAGGACUGGAAUAACUCCGGGAAACCGGGGCUAAUGCCGGAUAACAUUUAGAACCGCAUGGUUCUAAAGUGAAAGAUGGUUUUGCUAUCACUUAUAGAUGGACCCGCGCCGUAUUAGCUAGUUGGUAAGGUAACGGCUUACCAAGGCAACGAUACGUAGCCGACCUGAGAGGGUGAUCGGCCACACUGGAACUGAGACACGGUCCAGACUCCUACGGGAGGCAGCAGUAGGGAAUCUUCCGCAAUGGGCGAAAGCCUGACGGAGCAACGCCGCGUGAGUGAUGAAGGUCUUCGGAUCGUAAAACUCUGUUAUUAGGGAAGAACAAAUGUGUAAGUAACUGUGCACGUCUUGACGGUACCUAAUCAGAAAGCCACGGCUAACUACGUG
RNAcentral lists this ribosomal RNA (497 nucleotides) under uncultured bacterium. RNAcentral's name for it is "partial 16S ribosomal RNA". It matches the Rfam family "Bacterial small subunit ribosomal RNA", at positions 28 to 507 of the family's 1533-position model. The record is from RNAcentral.